Molecule: ribosomal RNA, 255 nt
Filed under: uncultured bacterium
Lineage: Bacteria
Description: partial 16S ribosomal RNA
Rfam family: Bacterial small subunit ribosomal RNA
Source: RNAcentral
GCAAGUCGGACGGCAGCAUUACGCUUCGGUGAAGUUGGCGAGUGGCGCACGGGUGCGUAACGCGUAUGCAACCUACCCAUGACAGGGGGAUAGCACAGGGAAACUUGGAUUAAUACCGCAUGAAGCUAGUUUCACUGCAUGGUUAUAUUAGCCAAAAUAGCGCUCUGUUCAUGGAUGGGCAUGCGUCCCAUUAGCUGGUUGGCGGGGUAACGGCCCACCAAGGCGAUGAUGGGUAGGGGUUCUGAGAGGAAGGGC